Non-coding RNA from Nerophis lumbriciformis (worm pipefish), 131 nucleotides. The record is from RefSeq and is a predicted model, not a curated record. Lineage: Eukaryota; Metazoa; Chordata; Actinopteri; Syngnathiformes; Syngnathidae.
CUGGUGUGCUCAGAGCCAGUUUCUCUAAGACCAUAGAUUCUGGUUUAUACCACACCAAACAGAAACUUUAGGAGUGUGCUCGUACUGAAGUGAAGUCAUCAUUUCUUCACGUGCACACGCUCCACACACUU